UACGUAAGGGGCGAGCGUUGUUCGGAAUUAUUGGGUGUAAAGGGCGCGUAGGCGGCUUGGCAAGUCUGGUGUGUAAGGCUACAGCUUAACUGUAGUUAGGCGCUGGAAACUGCGAGGCUAGAGUGCAGGAGAGGGAGCUGGAAUUCCAGGUGUAGGGGUGAAAUCUGUAGAGAUCUGGAAGAACACCGGUGGCGAAGGCGAGCUCCUGGUCUGUAACUGACGAUGAGGCGCGAAAGCGUUGGGAGCGAACAGG
This 253-nucleotide ribosomal RNA is filed under the name uncultured bacterium. RNAcentral's name for it is "partial 16S ribosomal RNA". It matches the Rfam family "Bacterial small subunit ribosomal RNA", at positions 524 to 776 of the family's 1533-position model. The record is from RNAcentral.